This 880-nucleotide ribosomal RNA is filed under the name Knorella fuzhoui. Its description in RNAcentral is "partial large subunit ribosomal RNA". It matches the Rfam family "Eukaryotic large subunit ribosomal RNA", at positions 366 to 944 of the family's 3401-position model. Lineage: Eukaryota; Metazoa; Arthropoda; Arachnida; Trombidiformes; Eriophyidae. The record is from RNAcentral.
AAAUAGAACUUUGCAGAGAGAGUUAACAGGGCGUGAAACCGUUAAUUGGCAAACGAAUCGGAGCCACGAAGUCGUUUCGUUGAUUAGUCGGGGCCGAGUUCAGCUCAAAAGUCUUGUCUUUUGGGUGUAUUCUCGUGUCUGGCCAAUCUUUGUAAGCGUACACUGCAACCAGUUAGACGAUUGGAGAUGGGCACAGUUAGAUGCUCAGGUUAGGUUUGAUAUAAGAAUCCUCGUGGUUCCCGUGUCAUUGGGCCUGUUGCAAGUGAACUAUCACCAAAUACUGACUGGCAAAAUGAAAAUCGCCUAGCGCGUUUUAUAAAAUGCGUCGGCCAUCAUACAGGUCUACAUGCGUACCCAUAGGGUCUAAGUUCGGCAUCUUUGAAUUUGGACUUGCUAGCUACCAGUGGGGCAACUCCUGGUGCUAGUAUAGCUUCCAUCUAAUCAGGUGUUGACUUGGCCAUGUGCAGUGUGCGUAUGAAGCGAUUGGGCUUGUAUGUUAGGUUGAACGCCAUUUGAUUGGCAGUGAGUAGGUCGGCUUUCCGAACGACCCGUCUUGAAACACGGACCAAGGAGUCUAAUUAGGCAUCGAGUCGAUCGGUCUUGAAUAGGCCAGACUUGUGGGGUGCACUCUGCUGAAGGCGAAGAGAAAUCAUGUGAUCGUUGGAGCAAACCAGCUCUGGCGCGCAACAUGUGCCUGUUCGUAUAGCAAUGUAGCAAUAAUUGCUGAGCGGAGCAAAGAGAUGCCUGAUUGGUACCCGAAAGAUGGUGAUGCUUGGGCAAAUUGAAGCCAGAGGAAACUCUGGUGGAGGAUUGUAGCGAUUCUGACGUGCAAAUCGAUCGUCAGACCUGAGUAUAGGGGCGAAAGACUAAUCGAACCAUC